Molecule: non-coding RNA, 1269 nt
Organism: Ciona intestinalis (vase tunicate)
Lineage: Eukaryota; Metazoa; Chordata; Ascidiacea; Phlebobranchia; Cionidae
Source: RefSeq, a predicted model, not a curated record
GCGUCCCAUCUUCCCCCACCCCACUAUAUAUAACACAAUAAGUGCCCUAGUAUAUAAUAAUUGCAUAACGCUAGCCAAAUCUUUAUCGUAUACUGACAAUUAAAACGUUUUAAGUUUUCUUGUUUUCCGUUCUGUACGACUGUAGCUGUAAUAAUAGUAAUCCAUAUCCUAACAACCCAUUUGCACGACUAAAAACGUUAUUCAAAUUUCAUAAAAAUCCGACGAAAAAAGCAUUGCAACUUCUGUAUUAAAAACCUCAUGCGUAUAUCUUUACAUUAAAUAAACACUAAAAUCGCAUGGUAAACUUUCAAGUUCGUUGUUGGCAUUUUAUAAAACUGGCAAAUACUGCACUAAACGUACAUGCAUUAAACUUUUACGUAUCAUGGGUUUUUAAAACCACUAAAUCAGCAUGUUAGGACUUUCCAAAAUUUCUGAGUAACUAAAAACAGUAAGCCUUUCUAUUACGCGCACGAAUGCGCAGCUCAGUACUUCCCGUUUUACGCUUCGGUUGCGUCUUAAUAUAGGUUCAGGUUAGCCUCCUUUUCUGCGGUCUAAAAACAACACCCAAAACGAGAUGCCUCCUUUAUGUAUUGGGUAAUAUAGAAAUGUUUAUAACUGGCCAUAGUACUGUAGUGUAAGAUGGGAUAACUUUUCGCACAUAAUAACCCAUAUUUCCUAAUCGUUUUUUGUAACAAUUAACAACGCGCUUUUAGGGUCGUGAGGAUACAGUCAUAUAAUUUUACCAAUGUUAUUUGUUUACUACCAAAUGGGACGAAAAUAUGUCUCUACGUUAAUUAUGUUAAUCAAAUGCCGCAAGUUUCGCUCAAAAAGUUACAUACGCGGUAACUCGUAAGCAGGCAUGCGGUGUCUGAAACAGAACACUCAAGUUAUAAUGACUGUUUUUGCCCGCCACGCGAGGAAAACCAUUUAUUUAAAUGUGCCCUGCGCCUUAAACCAGCAGUGUUUCCGCGAUGUUAAAAUAUUAAACGGAGAUGAAGAGAAAACGAAGUAAAAAAUGACAGGAAACACUGAAAUUCUAAGCGUUGAUUGCCUCACCCCGCUUUUCGUUUACCAUGCUUAUAAAACCGAAGCAAUUGAGCCACACGUACACAACGACCACACUUCGGAUGCUGCUGUUACUUCAACUGCUACAAUGUACGGUAUUGGAUUUAAUCUCAAGGAUUUGCUCGACAGUUCUUUAUUACGUCAGUUGAUACGUCACCUGCGACGUGGCAUCGGAAUGUUAAUAUUGCGUUCGUUACGUCACAA